RNAcentral lists this ribosomal RNA (497 nucleotides) under uncultured bacterium. RNAcentral's name for it is "partial 16S ribosomal RNA". It matches the Rfam family "Bacterial small subunit ribosomal RNA", at positions 28 to 507 of the family's 1533-position model. The record is from RNAcentral.
GAUGAACGCUGGCGGCGUGCCUAAUACAUGCAAGUCGAGCGAACGGACGAGAAGCUUGCUUCUCUGAUGUUAGCGGCGGACGGGUGAGUAACACGUGGAUAACCUACCUAUAAGACUGGGAUAACUUCGGGAAACCGGAGCUAAUACCGGAUAAUAUUCUGAACCGCAUGGUUCAAAAGUGAAAGACGGUCUUGCUGUCACUGAUAGAUGGAUCCGCGCCGCAUUAGCUAGUUGGUAAGGUAACGGCUUACCAAGGCAACGAUGCAUAGCCGACCUGAGAGGAUGAUCGGCCACACUGGAACUGAGACACGGUCCAGACUCCUACGGGAGGCAGCAGUAGGGAAUCUUCCGCAAUGGGCGAAAGCCUGACGGAGCAACGCCGCGUGAGUGAUGAAGGUCUUCGGAUCGUAAAACUCUGUUAUUAGGGAAGAACAUAUGUGUAAGUAACUGUGCACAUCUUGACGGUACCUAAUCAGAAAGCCACGGCUAACUACGUG